CAAUAGCGUAUAUUAAAGUUGUUGCGGUUAAAAAGCUCGUAGUUGGAUUUCUGUUGAGAGCAGCCGGUCUGCACUUGGUGCAUGUAUCUGGUUUGAUCUCGGCAUCCUCUCAAAAAACGUUUCUGCGCUUGAUUGCGUGGAGCGGAGUUUGGGACUUUUACUUUGAGGAAAUUAGAGUGUUCACGGCAGGCAGUCGCCUUGAAUAUAUUAGCAUGGAAUAAUAAUAUAGGAUCUUGGUUCUAUUUUGUUGGUUUCUAGAGCUAAGAUAAUGAUUAAUAGGGACAAUUGGGGGCAUUCGUAUUAACGCGUCAGAGGUGGAAUUCUUGGAUUGCGUUACGACGAACUACUGCGAAAGCAUUUGCCAAGGAUGUUUUCAUUGA
RNAcentral lists this ribosomal RNA (380 nucleotides) under uncultured eukaryote. Its description in RNAcentral is "partial 18S ribosomal RNA". It matches the Rfam family "Eukaryotic small subunit ribosomal RNA", at positions 592 to 976 of the family's 1831-position model. The record is from RNAcentral.